Halichondria panicea is the source of this 371-nucleotide long non-coding RNA. RefSeq lists it as uncharacterized. NCBI's taxonomy places the organism in Eukaryota, Metazoa, Porifera, Demospongiae, Suberitida, Halichondriidae. The record is from RefSeq and is a predicted model, not a curated record. The transcript is spliced from 3 exons.
UGACAUGUUACAUAAUGCACAUGUACACACAUACGUAGUCACUAUCAGCCUAACUGGGAACUUGGUGGGAAAAUGUGAAUUUCUGUCAACCAACUGAUAGAACUUGGAACAUUGGUUUCUCAAAACGGCCCUGUCGUCCAUGGAAACCAAACAAAGUGUACAGUCUUGUGACACUUCUGCUGAUGCCGGUGGUGGAGUUGACUGAUAGCUAGUGACCGUGAUGAGUACAGUGGGUCAUGCAGAAUCAGAGGAAGAUGGUUUUUCUGUCAAGAGAAGAAAUCAAGUUUAGGAAUGAUUCUUUCCUGGAUGAGCUAUGUGAUAUUCCACGCUGCUCUGUUACCAAGGCUAAACUGAUUGACCAGCUGGAAGCA